CCCUUUCUUUUCUCCUCUGCUUCCAAGAGGUCAUAACUUUUCAAAGACCCAUCCACCUUCUUCUUGUUCACCAUUACCUUUAAAACACCAUUUUUCCCCUGAACCCUAAUGGGUUCAUCUGAAUCAUAUUUAUCGCUAUAAAAUGACAUAGGUGGAUGAGCCCCAUCUCUGUCACCAUGAUUCGCCCGAUGUAGCCCACUUGUUCUCUCAAAAUAUGAACUCUUUCUUCUAUCAACACCAGGAUGUCUACUGGAUCCUGUCUCGUAUUCCCUUUCAAUGCCACUUCUCCCCGCCAUCACUGACCCAAAAAAACCUCCUUCCUUCCAUCCCACCUUCAUCAACGCGAUUCCUCCUCAUCAUUUCUCCGUCAUUCACAUCAUAUUCGUCAAAUUCAAACACAUCUAACCUAUUCCUCUUCCUUUCACUGAAAUCCCCAUUCCUACCGAUCACGUCACCAUCAUUACUCCUAACAUUUUCUCCCCUACUCCUCUUCCUGCUAAUAUCAUUCUCUUCUACAAUACCCUCAUCAUAAAGACUCAAACCAUUACAAACCCGUAAAGUUUCAGCGCCUACCCUUCUUCGAGAUGGCAUUAACAGCUCAUCACUAGACCCUGAAUCGCUCAUAUCCAUCCUAGCCCUCUUCUUGUCCUUCUUGGACCCAAACACCUUACGUGAACCAGAAGAACCCACUCCUCCCACACCAUCAUUACCCUUUUUUCUCACAAUCAAACAGCCCGAAGAGCUCCUAUUCUUCACCAUAAUCCCUGACAGGUCACCAGAUCUUCUUCCCUCUUCCAUAAA
RNAcentral lists this unclassified non-coding RNA (801 nucleotides) under Hevea brasiliensis (rubber tree). Lineage: Eukaryota; Viridiplantae; Streptophyta; Magnoliopsida; Malpighiales; Euphorbiaceae. The record is from RNAcentral.